GAGGGUAGCACUUCAGUGCUCUAGUUCUAAUUGUAGAUUGACUGAUCGAUUUGUCUUCUGUACUAUUGUUUGACUUUUCCGCUCCUCAUCUUUUCCGGCCCCCAGUUAUGCGGCCAUUUUUCAGCCCGGCCAAGUGUUGAGGAGACAAGAAGAGGCACUGAGAAUGGAGGUAGAGGCGUACUAUGCUGCUAAGAAGGCCACUCAGUGUGACUAUGACCGUGUGACUCUUUAACCCCUCAGUUCCAUUAGGAUAACUGGGGGCCGGAAAAGAUAAGCCUACUAUGCUGCUAAGAAAGAGAGGGGCCUCACGUAAACUGGCCACUCAGUGUGACUAUGAUCAUGUGACUCUUUAACCCCUCAGUUCCCGAGCCCCACCCCUCACUGUCUGACUCGGAAGAGGAGAUAGACUUUGUAUUCUGGGAGAAGGCGUCCACCCUACCCUCGGACAAGACCCCAACCAAGGACCUGAACUUGUUAUGAGACUGUUAAAUAUUAUUUUGUCUGUUUUUGUACUAUUUUCUGGCAAUGUAAUUAUGUAUGUACCACUUCAUGUCAUCAUAAUAACUUUAUAUGCGAUAAAAUUCUGUUGCAAC
Halichondria panicea is the source of this 593-nucleotide long non-coding RNA. RefSeq lists it as uncharacterized. Lineage: Eukaryota; Metazoa; Porifera; Demospongiae; Suberitida; Halichondriidae. The transcript is spliced from 2 exons. The record is from RefSeq and is a predicted model, not a curated record.